GAUGAACGCUAGCGGCAGGCUUAACACAUGCAAGUCGAGGGGCAGCGUGAUGGUUAGCAAUAACCAUUGACGGCGACCGGCGCAAGGGUGCGUAACGCGUGAGCAACUUACCCUCAUCAGGGGUAUAACCGGUGGAAACGCCGACUAAUCCCCCAUAGUCUGUUACGGAGGCAUCUCUGUUACAGUAAAGAAAUUCGGAUGAGGAUAGGCUCGCGUGACAUUAGCUAGUUGGCGGGGUAACGGCCCACCAAGGCGACGAUGUCUAGGGGUUCUGAGAGGAAGGUCCCCCACACUGGAACUGAGACACGGUCCAUACUCCUACGGGAGGCAGCAGUGAGGAAUAUUGGUCAAUGGGCGGAAGCCUGAACCAGCCAUGCCGCGUGCGGGAAGGAGGCCCUAUGGGCUGUGAACCGCUUUUGCCUGGGGGCAAUAAGGGCGUCGCGCACGUCCGAUGAGAGUACCAGGGGAAUAAGCAUCGGCUAACUCCGUGCCAGCAGCCGCGGUAAUACGGGGGAUGCGAGCGUUAUCCGGAUUCAUUGGGUUUAAAGGGUGCGUAGGCUGUGCGUCAAGUCAGGGGUGAAAUUCCGGGGCUCAACUCCGGGGCUGCCCUUGAUACUGUCGCGCUGGAGUGCGGAUGCCGCCGG
This 644-nucleotide ribosomal RNA is filed under the name uncultured Bacteroidota bacterium. RNAcentral's name for it is "bacterial SSU rRNA". It matches the Rfam family "Bacterial small subunit ribosomal RNA", at positions 28 to 661 of the family's 1533-position model. Lineage: Bacteria; Pseudomonadati; Bacteroidota. The record is from RNAcentral.